This 90-nucleotide unclassified non-coding RNA is filed under the name Pseudomonas mediterranea. Lineage: Bacteria; Pseudomonadati; Pseudomonadota; Gammaproteobacteria; Pseudomonadales; Pseudomonadaceae. The record is from RNAcentral.
UGUGGGAGCGAGCCUGCUCGCGAUAGCUGUCUGCCGGUCGGCAUCCAUGUCGACUGACACACCGCCAUCGCGAGCAGGCUCGCUCCCACA